Molecule: long non-coding RNA, 1610 nt
Organism: Prinia subflava (tawny-flanked prinia)
Lineage: Eukaryota; Metazoa; Chordata; Aves; Passeriformes; Cisticolidae
Exons: 2
Source: RefSeq, a predicted model, not a curated record
GAAGUGAAUGACUACAAGUUCAACGUGUAACAUGUUACAAGCUCAGCAAACACAACUUUCAACAGUUUCAAAAGUACCAAUUUAAAAAAGAAUUUAUUAGCAUUUAUAAUAUGUUCUUUCAUGGUUAGAUUCUGCUCAAAAUUUACUAAUAUGAAACACUUAAAAAAUUAAAAAAAAUUGUGCUGUGAUGCACCAUUCUUCCUAGACUUCUGUAGGGGCUUUUCCUUCCUCUAUUCUCCUGGAAAGACAUUCAUUAUGUUAUAAAUGCCAGGACAAUUUAUUACCAAAUUCAAUAAUUUGGUUUAUUAAAAUUCAAAUCACAAAAUUUGGAAUCAAAUUACAGAAUUUUAAGUAAUAAAAAAACAAAACAAAACCCCACAAACAGCGACACUUACUUGACAGAAUUUCUCCCGGGAAAAAAUGAGUCAAGGGUGACCCAGAGACACGGACCCUGGCAGUCUGAGUCUCUAGCUGGGUUCACGCCUUGCCCACCUAGAGGCUUAACUUAAAUACCCUUAAUAUCACCCUCGGCAGCCUUUCUCCCAUUGUUUCACUAAGCACCGGCCAUUAACUUUGUUUAUACUAAAUCCCGAAAGGGUCCCCUGGCCCAUUCAAAUGCUGAUGUCCAGAGUUAGUCCUUGCUUUGAGUAAUUUAACCGUCAUAGAAGUGUGUGAUGAUUCCUCUGGCACGUAGCAUUCGACUGGUGUAAGUCCUGGUAAUUUUCGCUGCAUGUAUGCAAGGGUAGGUUGAUCGGUACUCAUUGUCUCAUCAGUGCCUCGUGUUCUCACCUUCUAUUUCUGGACCAGGGAGAUCAGGAGAGGCGCUUUACAGAAGUCCGUGAAACUUGCGGGUUGAGCAGACACACAUACCUUUAUACAAUAUAUUACAGUUUCCAGUCUAUAAUUAUUUAUAGAACAUGAAUUAAAUAACCCUAUUUUCCACAAUUAUUUUUAUCAAAUCCAUCUUUUCAUUAGGGCUCCUUCCCACAACAAAACAAAACAAAACAAAACAAACCUCCCAACUAUUAGUUUUUCUUUUAUGAAGGUAGAAUAUUCUUAAGAAAAUCAAAAUCUUUUCCCUGGGCUCUAAGUUAAAGACACUUUUUUUUUUUUUUGCCGAGGUGUGAAAUAUGUGCUUUUCAAUUAUUUCCAGUUUCAGGAGUUAUAAGAGAUAGCUGGAUACAUGCACAUAUUCAUUUACUUUACAUGCAUCAUAUGGUAAGAUAGAUUCUUGUCUAUAAAGUCCAUCAUCAACUUGAAAAUAAAAUUAUUAGUGAGGUGACACUAUCACUCUCUUACGGCACAGCCAAAAAGUUCCAGGUAAUUUUCAUCAUUUUACAAUUUUCAUUGAUGGAAAUCAAGAGUUUCUAUGGUGCAGAGAUUUUCUUGUCAAAUCAUUUGUAAGAUCUAUUUGAAAGAAGCUUUGCUACAUACUUUUCCAAGCAUUAUUUGCACUAAAGCCUGAUAGUGUAUGAAAACCAAAUAAAAUUAAACAGUUAUACUUCAGGCAUGCUGAACUUUGAGCUUUGCCUGCUUAUUAGACUGUGAGAGCUGAGUUAAAAAAAAAAAAAAAAAAAAAAAAAAAAAAAAAAAAAAAAAAAAAAAAAACA